This 373-nucleotide long non-coding RNA is filed under the name Homo sapiens (human). Its description in RNAcentral is "HSALNT0184044". Lineage: Eukaryota; Metazoa; Chordata; Mammalia; Primates; Hominidae. The record is from RNAcentral.
CUGGUCCUGGCUUUUGAGAAAAGAGCCAGCAGCCUCUGGUCUUGUUGACACCAUCAUCUGAGAGUGGCAGGCCACCAGAGGGAAGGGCUAAGGACAGAGCCAGAUCUGGCUGGGCCAUCUCACCUUCUGGAGGCCGAACUUGACCCGGGAUGGAAAUAAUGAAGCAGCCACUGGCUUUCCCAAGGCCUGUGAUCCUCCUGGUCACCAGAAAUCCCAAGUUCUUAUCUCCUGCUCUUCCAGUCUCCUCUGUUAGGGUACUGGUUCCCAGCGCAGAGCUUCUGUGAUUACCAGAAGAACACUGAAGGAGUCUUCUUGUCUGUCUGGAGCCAGCUGAGAUGGCCCUGAGAUCCACAGAGCCUCCUCCACGCCCCUG